GACGAACGCUGGCGGCGUGCUUAACACAUGCAAGUCGAGCGGUAAGGCCCUUUCGGGGGUACACGAGCGGCGAACGGGUGAAUAACACGUGGGUGACCUGCCCUCAGCUCUGGGAUAAGCCUGGGAAACUGGGUCUAAUACUGGAUAUGACUCCACGGUGCAUGUCGUGGGGUGGAAAGCCUUGUGCGGCUGAGGAUGGGCCCGCGGCCUAUCAGCUUGUUGGUGGGGUGAUGGCCUACCAAGGCGACGACGGGUAGCCGGCCUGAGAGGGCGACCGGCCACACUGGGACUGAGACACGGCCCAGACUCCUACGGGAGGCAGCAGUGGGGAAUCUUGCGCAAUGGGCGAAAGCCUGACGCAGCGACGCCGCGUGAGGGAUGACGGCCUCGGUUGUAA
This 397-nucleotide ribosomal RNA is filed under the name uncultured bacterium. Its description in RNAcentral is "bacterial SSU rRNA". It matches the Rfam family "Bacterial small subunit ribosomal RNA", at positions 28 to 428 of the family's 1533-position model. The record is from RNAcentral.